GAUGAACGCUGGCGGCGUGCCUAAUACAUGCAAGUCGAGCGAACGGACGAUAAGCUUGCUUCUCUGAUGUUAGCGGCGGACGGGUGAGUAACACGUGGAUAACCUACCUAUAAGACUGGGAUAACUUCGGGAAACCGGAGCUAAUACCGGAUGAUAUUUUGAACCGCAUGGUUCAAAAGUGAGAGACGGUCUUGCUGUCACUUAUAGAUGGAUCCGCGCUGCAUUAGCUAGUUGGUAAGGUAACGGCUUACCAAGGCAACGAUGCAUAGCCGACCUGAGAGGGUGAUCGGCCACACUGGAACUGAGACACGGCCCAGACUCCUACGGGAGGAAGCAGUAGGGAAUAUUCGGCAAUGGGCGAAAGCCUGACGGAGCAACGCCGCGUGAGUGAUGAAGGUCUUCGGAUCGUAAAACUCUGUUAUUAGGGAAGAACAUAUGUGUAAGUAACUGUGCACAUCUUGACGGUACCUAAUCAGAAAGCCACGGCUAACUACGUG
Molecule: ribosomal RNA, 497 nt
Filed under: uncultured bacterium
Lineage: Bacteria
Description: partial 16S ribosomal RNA
Rfam family: Bacterial small subunit ribosomal RNA
Source: RNAcentral